AAUAUUGCACAAUGGGCGCAAGCCUGAUGCAGCGUCGCCGCGUGAGGGAUUACGGCCUCCGGGUUGCAAACCUCUUUCCGUGCCGACGAAGCGGAAGUGACGCUAGGCCCAGCAGAAGGACCGGCCAACUACGUUCCAGCAGCCGCGGUAAUACGUAGGGUCCGAGCGUUGUCCGGAAUUACUGGGCGUAAAGAGCUCGUAGGUGGUUUGUCGCCUUGUCCGUGAAAACUCACAGUUUAACUGUGGGCGUGCGGGCGAUACGGGCAGACUAGAGUACUGCAGGGGAGACUGGAAUUCCUGGUGUAGCGGUGGAAUGCGCAGAUAUCAGGAGGAACACCGGUGGCGAAGGCGGGUCUCUGGGCAGUAACUGACGCUGAGGAGCGAAAGCGUGGGGAGCGAAC
This 401-nucleotide ribosomal RNA is filed under the name uncultured bacterium. RNAcentral's name for it is "partial 16S ribosomal RNA". It matches the Rfam family "Bacterial small subunit ribosomal RNA", at positions 360 to 773 of the family's 1533-position model. The record is from RNAcentral.